This 100-nucleotide small nuclear RNA is filed under the name Cervus hanglu yarkandensis (Yarkand deer). Lineage: Eukaryota; Metazoa; Chordata; Mammalia; Artiodactyla; Cervidae. The record is from RNAcentral.
GUGCUCGCUUCCGCAGCAUACUAAAAUUGGAACGAUACAGAGAUUAGCAUGGCCCCAGUGCAAGGAUGACAGGCAAAUUCGUGAAGCAUUCCAUAUUUUU